UACGGGGGGGGCAAGCGUUGUUCGGAAUUACUGGGCGUAAAGGGCUCGUAGGCGGCCAACUAAGUCAGACGUGAAAUCCCUCGGCUUAACCGGGGAACUGCAUCUGAUACUGGAUGACUUGAGAUUGGGAGAGGGAUGCGGAAUUCCAGGUGUAGCGGUGAAAUGCGUAGAUAUCUGGAGGAACACCGGUGGCGAAGGCGGCAUCCUGGACCGACACUGACGCUGAGGAGCGAAAGCCAGGGGAGCAAACGGG
RNAcentral lists this ribosomal RNA (253 nucleotides) under uncultured bacterium. Its description in RNAcentral is "partial 16S ribosomal RNA". It matches the Rfam family "Bacterial small subunit ribosomal RNA", at positions 524 to 776 of the family's 1533-position model. The record is from RNAcentral.